GGCCUAGUGGCGAACGGAAUCGCACCCCCACUGGGUCAGGCGACGUGCAACUUCAUCAUCGUGGGCGCUCCUGGUUCGACUCCAGGCUAGGUCA
Molecule: non-coding RNA, 94 nt
Organism: Mycena latifolia
Lineage: Eukaryota; Fungi; Basidiomycota; Agaricomycetes; Agaricales; Mycenaceae
Source: the annotation of a GenBank genome assembly